GAUGAACGCUAGCGGCAGGCUUAAUACAUGCAAGUCGAGGGGCAGCAUGAGUAGCAAUACUUGAUGGCGACCGGCAAACGGGUGCGGAACACGUACGCAACCUUCCUUUAAGCGGGGAAUAGCCCAGAGAAAUUUGGAUUAAUCCCCCAUAGUAUGGUAAAGUGGCAUCACUAUAUCAUUAAAGAUUUAUCACUUAAAGAUGGGCGUGCGUCUGAUUAGGUAGUUGGCGGGGUAACGGCCCACCAAGCCUACGAUCAGUAACUGGUGUGAGAGCAUGACCAGUCACACGGGCACUGAGACACGGGCCCGACUCCUACGGGAGGCAGCAGUAAGGAAUAUUGGUCAAUGGGCGAAAGCCUGAACCAGCCAUGCCGCGUGGAGGAUGAAGGUCCUCUGGAUUGUAAACUUCUUUUAUCUGGGACGAAAAAAGGGAUUCUUUCUCGUCUGACGGUACCAGAUGAAUAAGCACCGGCUAACUCCGUGCCAGCAGCCGCGGU
RNAcentral lists this ribosomal RNA (497 nucleotides) under uncultured bacterium. RNAcentral describes it as "bacterial SSU rRNA". It matches the Rfam family "Bacterial small subunit ribosomal RNA", at positions 28 to 521 of the family's 1533-position model. The record is from RNAcentral.